CCUACGGGCGGCAGCAGUGAGGAAUAUUGGUCAAUGGACGGGAGUCUGAACCAGCCAAGUAGCGUGCAGGAUGACUGCCCUACGGGUCGUAAACUGCUUUUACACGGGAAUAACAUGUUCCACGUGUGGGGUUCUGCAUGUACCAUACGAAUAAGGGCCGGCUAAUUCCGUGCCAGCAGCCGCGGUAAUACGGAAGGCCCGAGCGUUAUCCGGUUUCAUUGGGUUUAAAGGGAGCGUAGGUGGGCGUUAAAGUCAGUGGUAAAAUUUCGCGGCUCAACCGAAAACUGCAGUUGAAACUGGAAGUCUUGAGUUCACAACAGGCAGGCGGAAUUCGUGGUGUAGCGGUGAAAUGCAUAGAUAUCACGAGGAACCCCGAUUGCGAAGGCAGUCCGCUGGGGUGCGACUGACACUGAGGCUCGAAGGUGUGGGUAUCAAACAGGAUUAGAUACCCCAGUAGUC
This 459-nucleotide ribosomal RNA is filed under the name uncultured bacterium. RNAcentral describes it as "partial 16S ribosomal RNA". It matches the Rfam family "Bacterial small subunit ribosomal RNA", at positions 338 to 795 of the family's 1533-position model. The record is from RNAcentral.